This 75-nucleotide transfer RNA is filed under the name Azospirillum brasilense. RNAcentral describes it as "tRNA-Met". It matches the Rfam family "tRNA". From Rfam's summary of the family: Transfer RNA (tRNA) molecules are approximately 80 nucleotides in length. The record is from RNAcentral. Lineage: Bacteria; Pseudomonadati; Pseudomonadota; Alphaproteobacteria; Rhodospirillales; Azospirillaceae.
UCCGGUGGCGCUCAACGGUAGCUCGUCAGGCUCAUAACCUGAAGGUCGCAGGUUCAAAUCCUGCCCCCGCAACCA